CGGCGAGUAGCGCAGCUUGUAGCGCAACUGGUUUGGGACCAGUGGGUCGGAGGUUCGAAUCCUCUCUCGCCGACCA
RNAcentral lists this transfer RNA (76 nucleotides) under Citrobacter koseri. RNAcentral's name for it is "tRNA-Pro(tgg)". It matches the Rfam family "tRNA". From Rfam's summary of the family: Transfer RNA (tRNA) molecules are approximately 80 nucleotides in length. Their secondary structure includes four short double-helical elements and three loops (D, anti-codon, and T loops). The record is from RNAcentral. Lineage: Bacteria; Pseudomonadati; Pseudomonadota; Gammaproteobacteria; Enterobacterales; Enterobacteriaceae. RNAcentral also lists the same sequence under 1 other name.